This 262-nucleotide signal recognition particle RNA is filed under the name Lachnospiraceae bacterium. Its description in RNAcentral is "signal recognition particle sRNA large type". It matches the Rfam family "Bacterial large signal recognition particle RNA". Rfam says of the family: The signal recognition particle (SRP) is a universally conserved ribonucleoprotein involved in the co-translational targeting of proteins to membranes. Archaeal SRP consists of a 7S RNA and homologues of the eukaryotic SRP19 and SRP54 proteins. The record is from RNAcentral. Lineage: Bacteria; Bacillati; Bacillota; Clostridia; Lachnospirales; Lachnospiraceae.
CCGUGCAACCGGGGAGAUAGCGGUGCCCUGUACCUGCAAUCCGCUACAGCAGGGGUGAUGAUGUGCCGAGGGGCGUCCGAUUUGGAGCUGCCCGUAGUAAGUAACGUUGAAGCUUGGGCCUCGCGCGAUGGGAAUUUGUGAACCGUGUCAGGGUAGGAAUACAGCAGCACUAAGCGAACCCUCUCAUGCGCCGCGAGUACACCUGGGCCGAGUCAACUGCUAUGGUAACGUCCGGAAAGGCGUUUCGACGCACUUCGCACGG